This 868-nucleotide long non-coding RNA is filed under the name Homo sapiens (human). RNAcentral's name for it is "HSALNT0150027". Lineage: Eukaryota; Metazoa; Chordata; Mammalia; Primates; Hominidae. The record is from RNAcentral.
AAAAAAAAAAGAAAGAAAAGAAAAUGGAUAUUCCUUUCCAUUGAGGAAGAUGGUUCAGAGAGAUUAACUUGACUUGUCCAAAGUCACAAACCUAGUAUAUGAUCCUGGAACUGAGACUCAGAGGCAGGCAGUGUUCUACACUGAAAAGAGCAUAGGGAAUGGCAAGAUUCCACAAGCUGGCAAGCUUGUAGUGAGAGAUACACAUGCACUGUUGGUGUAAAAUUGCUAAACAUCUCUAGUGAGCAGUUUUGCAAUGUAUUUUAAGUGACUAUCCCCUUUGAUCUAGCAAAUCCACUUACAUAUUACCUAUUUUAACUCGCAGAUAUUUCCAGGCCUAUGUGUGAGAAUAUUAAGUUCAAUAUUGUUGAAAUAACAAUAGAUUGAGAGCUAGUUAAUAAAUUAUAUUGCAUAUACCCAUUUAAUAAAAUACUAUACAAUUAUUAAAGAGUCUACUCUUUAUGGACUGAUAGGAUCAGAUCCAAACCAUAUUAAUAAAAUUAGCAAAGUACAGAACUGUGUAUGUAUUUUUUUAAUCAUUUGCCUUUAAAAAGAAAAUUUAUACACACACACAAACACACACAGAGAUAGAUUUUCCAUCUCUUGAAAGAUUCAAAGAAACUAACAGUGAUUACCUCUGGGGAAAGGAACUAGGUGACUGAAGAACAGGAUAAGAGGAAGAUUUAUUUUUCACCAUAUAUGCCUUUUUGUAUCUUUUAAAAGAUGUACCUUAUAUUUCCUUUUUUUAAUAAAAGAGCAUAGGAAUUGCAUUCAAAGAGAAUUUAAUAUUAUUAUUAUUGUUGAGACGGUGUUUUGCUCUUUUUGCCCAGAGUGGAGUGCAAUGGCAUGAUCUCAGCUCACUGCAACCUCU